GUACAUUCUACAAAAAGAGUGUUUCAAAACUGCUCUAUCCAAAGAAAGGUUCAACACUAUGAGUUGAAUGCACACAUCACAAAGAGGAUUCUGAGAAUGCUUCUGUCUAGUUUUUAUGUGAAGAUAUACCGUUUCCAAUGAAGGCCUCAAAGCGGUCCAAAUAUCCACUUGCAAAUUCUACAAAAAGAGUGUUUCAAAACUGCCCUAUGAAAAGAAAUGUUCAACACUGUGAAUUGAAUGCACACAUCACAAAGAAGUUUCUGAGAAUACUU
This 272-nucleotide long non-coding RNA is filed under the name Homo sapiens (human). Its description in RNAcentral is "HSALNT0283053". The record is from RNAcentral. Lineage: Eukaryota; Metazoa; Chordata; Mammalia; Primates; Hominidae.